AGGAGAUUAAAAGGAGGCUGUUUGCUCCCUUCUACCAUGUGAGAAUGCAGCAAGAGGUACCAUCUCUGUGCAAUGAGCCCUUACCAGACAUUGAACCUGCUGGCACUUUAUCUUGGACUUCCCAGCCUCCAGAACUAGAUGAUGUCUUGCCACAUUGCCCAGGCUGGUCUCAAACUCCAGGCCUAAAGGGAUCUUCUGACUUUGGCCUCCCAAAGUGCUGAGAUUAUAGGAUCGAGGCUAUCAAGCUACAGAUGAUCUUACAAAUGGAACCCCAAAUGAGCUCAACUAACAACUACCAAGGACCCCUGGACCAACCCGCUGGCCCUUUCAAUGGCCUAAAGAGUUCCCCUCUGGAGGACACUACAACUGCAGGGUCCUUUCUUUGCCCCUAUCCAGCAGGAAGUAGCUAGAGUGGUCAUCACCCAAUUCCCAACAGCAGUUGGGGUGUCUUGUUAAGUGGGGAGAUUGAGAGGUGAAGCCAGCUGGGCUUCUGGGUUGGGUGGGGACUUGGAGAACUUUUCUGUCUAGCUAGAGGAUUGUAAACACACCAAUCAGUGCUAUGUGUCUAGCUAGAGGUUUGUAAAUGCACCAAUCAGCACUCUGUAAAAACGGACCAAUCAGCACUCUGUAAAAUGGACCAAUCAGUAGGAUGCGGGCAGGGCCAAAUAAGGGAAUAAAAGCUGGCCACCUGAGUCAGCAGUGGCAACCCACUCGGGUCCCCUUCCAUGCUGUGGAAGCUUUGUUCUUUCACUCUUCACAAUAAAUCUUGCUGCUGCUCACUCUUUGGGUCCACACCACCUUUAUGAGCUGCAACACUCACUGCGAAGGUCUUCAGCUUCACUCCUGAAGUCAGCGAGACCACGAACCCAUGGGGAGGAACAAUCGACUUCAGACAUGCCACCUUUAAGAGCUGUAACACUCACUGCGAAGGUCUGUGGCUUCACUCCUGAAGUCAGCAAGACCACGAACCCACUGGAAGGAAGAAAUUUCGGACACAUCUGAACAUCUGAAUGAACAAACUCUGGACACGCCAUCUUUAAGAACUGUAACACUCACUGUGAGGGUUCAUGGGUUCAUUCUUGAAGUCAGCAAGACCAAGAACCCACCAGAAGGAACCAAUUCCGGACACAGACUCACUGCAACCUCCACCUCCUGGAUUCAAGUGAUUCUCCUGCCUCAGCCUCCGGAGUAGCUGUGCCUACAGGCACAAGCCACCACACACGGCUAAUUUUUUGUAUUUUUAGUAGAGAUGGGGUUUCACCAUGUUGCUCAGGCUGGUCUCCAACUCCUGAGCUCAAGUGAUCCACCUGUCUCGGCCUCCCAAAGUGUUGGGAUACAUGUGUGAGCCACUGUGCCCGGCCUCCUCUGGAUUAGUUCUUACAGGAAUAGAUUAGUUCUUGCUCGAGCAAGUUGUUAUAAAAGUGAGGUUGCCUCUAGUGUUUUGCAUCCUCACAUAUGUCUGCUUACCUCUUGACCUCUCUCUGUGUUAUGACCCAGCACAAAAGCCCUUACCAGAAGCCAAGCAGAUGCUGAUGCCACACCCCUUGGACUUCUCAGUCUACAGAGCCAUGAAACGAAUAAACC
This 1584-nucleotide long non-coding RNA is filed under the name Homo sapiens (human). Its description in RNAcentral is "LHRI_LNC1881.7". Lineage: Eukaryota; Metazoa; Chordata; Mammalia; Primates; Hominidae. The record is from RNAcentral.